AGGUAAAACAAUGUGGAGUCUCUUUUAUUGGCAUGUUUCUGUCUUGGUAAGCAUGCAUCAAACAGGCUUAGGUUGGUUAGAACAAGGUGUAGCGGUCAAGAGAUGAUGCUGUAAGAUUAUUAGACUGCUGUUAUUUCUGGUCUGCAUGCAUUUCUGGCCGGACCAGCUGGUUAACUGAUGCGGCACUGUGUCAGUGAAACUGGGGCAAUAUUCUCAUUGCUGUAUACUAUUGUUACACAUACGAUUUCAUAGUUUGGCAAGUAUCACCAAAUUUGUGGUUAAGUCAUUUCUGAAUAAUGUUUAGUUUCCCGCUUGGCAUGCUUCUUUACAUCAAUCGAUCAGAUUCACCGCCGUUGGCCAGAGUUGCGCCUAAUUCAUACUGAUGUUAAGGAUGAACUCUCUGUUUUCUAAUAGGUCAGACUGGAUUCUGUGUUCUGUCCAUGCCCUGUUCACUGGCAUUGCCUCUUGAUUCCCCUCUUAAGUAGAAGAUCCACACUAAGCAUAGCAAGUCCACUAGAGGAGCAAAUGUUGUUUAUCACCGCAUCUCUUCUCAUGUUGACAAGCAAGCCAGAUAUAUAUGAAGGCACCAUACAAGGCGGCGACGGCGUACCCGCUCAAUACCUGCAGCCCCUGGUACGGACAGGAAAAUAUGCUGAGCUUCUCGGCCUCGACGACGUCGUCGUGCCUCUCUCUAAAAUGGCAGAUCUGUUUGUUUCUCUGGUGGGACUGCAGUUCUUCCGAAGCUUUGCUUUUCGCGAUGAGGAGAUUCGAGUGCAUCUUAAUUAUUGACACCUCAUUCUAUGACAAGCUCGGCAAGAAAGGCGGCAGCUGACGGGACGAUGUACCGAGGCCUGCGGCGGACUCAGCAGGAUGGAAAGCAGCGAGCAACGAUGCAUACUUCACGGAAGCCUACUGUUUCUCCUCGCCAAGACCUAAGAUAGCAUGAGGUCCGCGCAGAUAGAGGCACUCAUGCAGGAAAGAGACGAGGGAGCAGCUGGUGGUCCGGACGACGAAGAUCAGCUGAACGUUGGCUCCCAUGAAGUUGAUUGAUUGUGCCUCCGCUUUUGUGCCGCUUGCGUUGCUUUUGAACCACUGUCAUUUGUGUCAUUGGUGAUGUAAACU
Triticum dicoccoides is the source of this 1122-nucleotide RNA transcript. RefSeq lists it as uncharacterized. The transcript is spliced from 4 exons. NCBI's taxonomy places the organism in Eukaryota, Viridiplantae, Streptophyta, Magnoliopsida, Poales, Poaceae. The record is from RefSeq and is a predicted model, not a curated record.